UGGCUGUCUAUUAGCCGAUAUUGGUGUGAGAACGCGGAAUGUAACCGGUUAUCCUGGUGGAGUGACUGGAGUGUAUUCUCAUUGAGUGAGUCGAGUCACUCUCGGAACUUGAUGAAAACGAAAGUUCCAGCCAGGACACGUAGUAAGAGCCGUGUUCGACCGCAACAAGCUCCACCGACAGCGACCUCGGCCAGUCCAGGUCGAAUCGGUCUGGCGACGGUGGCGGGCCCAGCACGUGACGCGCUAGACCGUCCACUUCCUUCGACCAGCCUUCGGAGAAUAUCUCAACCACGUCCUCCCACUGAAAUUUAGGAGGUUGUGGGCAAAUGAAGAUAGGUGACAAUCCACCAGCAUACACCGCUAUUCUGUUCUGCGUCCGGCACAAAUGUCGCAAGUCUGGAGCCACGGUGAUGUUGUUCAGAAGUGUGAAGUUGUCUA
Leguminivora glycinivorella is the source of this 438-nucleotide long non-coding RNA. RefSeq lists it as uncharacterized. The record is from RefSeq and is a predicted model, not a curated record. The transcript is spliced from 3 exons. Lineage: Eukaryota; Metazoa; Arthropoda; Insecta; Lepidoptera; Tortricidae.